This is an RNA transcript of Daucus carota subsp. sativus, 3376 nucleotides long. RefSeq lists it as uncharacterized. The transcript has 13 exons. The record is from RefSeq and is a predicted model, not a curated record. Lineage: Eukaryota; Viridiplantae; Streptophyta; Magnoliopsida; Apiales; Apiaceae.
ACAGGGUUAUUUCAGACUUUUAACCGCAACUUCGGAUGAUCCAUUUUCUGCUGGGUCGUGCCCGACUUGAAUACAGAUGUUUUCAACACGAACCGGGUCGCUCCAUCACAUCUGGGUCGAACACACUGCAAAACUCUCACACAAUCAGUUUCCAAUCAGUUCCGCGAAAUAAGGCGUGUGAUUAGGUUAUCUUCAAAUUUCAAAUUUGGAAGUUAAUGGCCUCCUACUAUUGCUAUUACCGUGGACAAGGUGAAAUCAAACCUGCAUCAGUUUGUGAUGGAUCCGUUAGGUUUGAAGCGGCCUCCUCUUUCUCCGCUGUCACCGUCGUCUCUACGAGAGAGGCAGAGGAGACGUGGUGGUGCUCACGACUCCACCGAUGGGAACGGAAGCCUGCUUUGCAAAGAGAACCAGAACCCACUUCGGAAAGCACAAACCUUUGGUUCUGGAGGUAAUACCAUACCGGGUAUUUUGCACAAGGGCAGCCUAAAGACUUCCCAAUGUUCUGCUCCAAGCACGGCGGAAAGCGUAGUCAAUUCAGAAAACCAACACAAGUAUUUGAAGGAAACUUGCCCUGCUGAAAGGAAAUCUUUUCUUGGGAAUAGACGAGAAAACAACCCAACCAGAAUACCUAUUUCAAGAGGUAAUGAUGAUGUGAACCCUGGUAGUGGAACCUCUUUCGGUACUACUGAUGACUUUUCCUCUCCUUCGCAGAGGAGGUUGCGUGACGUUGAUUUGUUUGCUGUUACUCAACGAACACCCCUGGCCCGACUUAUAGCGAUACAGUCAAAUAAGCAGAGCGUGAGUAACCGUUUUCAACCUACCGUUUUCAACUGUUUUCAAAUAAGCAGUCUCAAGGCUUCCCAGUGUUCUGUUGCAAGCACAGCGGAAAGUUUUCUCCCGGCAGAAAUCGACAAAACUAUGUCAGAGAAUCGCGCCCUUCUCAUGGGAAAACAUGUGGUCAAAAUACUAAUUACUCAGGAGAAGCAUAUUAACUAUGUUAGCUGUGGUCUGCUAUUUUCGUGUGCUGACUUGAAGAAUGGUUUAUGCCUUGGAACUCCAACUCUCGCCUACAAUUCAUGCCAAAUGCCAUUACAUUCUACCCAAGCAUCAGCUUGCGCUUAGUACACCAUCUGAUCUUCAGUACAAUAAGCUUGGAAGUGUUGGCCAUGCAUCAGGUUCCAGUUCGACUUUUCAGACACAAUGAAUACGAGAGAUUUUUAACAACACCUUUCCCUUAUUAUGGAGCUUCAUUCACUACGGUAACACUGUCCAAUUAGUACUCAUAUUUGUGAUGGUAGCAUGCACAUAAACUCCACCCUACUUUAAUGUUGUUUAAAAUGAAACUGAGACAAUUGUAUGUUGAUAAUUGCAGAUGGUGGCUUUCUUCUUAGCAUCACAUCCCUUUAUAACAAGUGAAAUAGUUCUAUGUUGGAGCAAACUUUUACAAUUCCUUUUUUGCUUUGUUUAAGGUGUGGCAUGUAGGGGAGAGCAUGGGCCGGUUCGGCUCGGUUUCCGGAUAAAACCGGAACCGCAACCAUAUAUCUUCGGUUUUUAAAAUCGAAAACCGCAACCGCCGGUUCGGAUUCGGAUUCGGUUUCGGUUUAAAAACCCCGGUUCGGUUUCGGUUACAAAACCAACAAAUAUAAGAAUGAAAAAUAAUAUAUGUAUGAGACAAAUUAAUGCGCGUAAUUUAGACAUAAUAAUUAAUAUAAAAUUAGAAUUUAAUAAAAUAAUAAUAUUUUAUAUAAUGUUCAAAAGAUUAUGGUAAGCAGUGAGCAUAGUCUGGUGUUAGAGUAUUUAUUUUCCGGUGACAAUUGCCUUAUUAACAUCUAAGAAACAGAGUCCUGGAUAGAGUGUUCCAGUAACUAAAACAAAGCAGCUGAAAAAUAAAAUAUAAGAGUAUAAAAGCUUGAGCUUGAUGAAGCUAAUUAAAAAGGUUUAGAGGCUACCUCUCUGCUUGAUAUAAUUAUGUCAAGAUAUGCAAGUAAUAACUCACAGAGUAUAUUAUUAUCUAUGUAAAAGACUUUGAGAAAGUUACGUGGAGAGUCUGGAGAUUAUAAUUUGUAGUUUUUGUAUAUUAUGUGAACUUAUAACUUGAAUAGCUUUUUUAAUUUUCAAAUUCGAAAUAAAUUAGAUAUUUAUUAUUAAUAAAUAUAUAUAAUAUUUAUUAUUUAAUUAUUAUUUUAAUAAUCGGUUCGGUUCGGUUUUUAUCGGUUCGGUUGGAAGGUAUAACCGGAACCGAACCAUUUAAAUCGGUUCGGUUUUUUAUUUUUCGGUUUCGGUUUCGGUUUCGGAUCGGUUAUAUUCGGAUCGGUUUUCUCUGGUUUUUUCCGGUUUCGGUUCGGUUUCGGUUUCAAAUCGGUUUUUUGCUCAGCCCUGGUGGCAUGUAUACUUAUGGUAUGUUUCUUCCCUGUCUGGGCUGUGAGAAUUUUGUUAUGCCUAUCUUUAAACCACCAGACAUCUCUGUUGCAGUAGAGUAUGGAAUUGUAGAGAUUAUGUUUCAUGCCUCUCUAUAUGAUUUCAGUGCUUUCGGCUGACUUUGAAAUUGACGAAGAAUUAAAUUGAGAUUUAUAUAAAAACAUCACUUAGAUUAGUCUUGAUUGGUUAGGAUUUUCAUAGAGACCUAUUAUUCAUCGCUAACUUGAUUAUAAUUUUAGUUACAGAGGGAAACAUGGUCUAACAUAUAAUCUUGAUAGAUUCUCUCUUUGGUGUCUUUUAUGAUAAUUAUUACGUGUCUACACAAGAUGACAUGAUUGAUAUCUUGACACGCUUAUUACUUGAAUUUUUUCCACAAGUAGUUAGUCUUUGCCAUGAGUUUGGUCACGUGGUAUGUUUAACCACUACGUGAAGCAUGUACGCUGAUAAUAGUUCUAUGUUUCUCCCCUGUCAGUGCUGUGAAAUUUCUGUUAUGACUAUCUGUGCUCAACUAACAGGUCCACCAUAGGCAUUGUUACUGGUUCAAACUGAGAUGUUCUUUUGCUAGGCUUAUCACUGAUAAAUUUAUAUUUCCAAAUUCAAGGUAGUUCUGUCAGGGCUGCUGAAAGUGGUGCAGUGUGUCCCUGAUCCAAGUUUGCUGAAAUGAACAAGCCGAAGUGACUUGCUCAGCCCCAGAAACCAAUGCCACUGGGAUGCUCUCUGAACUAAAAUUGGUAGCACACCACUGUAUAUUGCAACUGUCUUGGUCAUACGAAUGACCAGAUUCUGCAUAAAGAGGUUGUGGCUAUCUCUGAUAUGCAAUUUUCUAUUGUUAUGAAUUACGGAGUGUUUAUUUCUUCAGUUCAAAUGCAGGCUUCGGCUACAAUUAUAAGAAUUUUCAGUUGCUUGCAUUAUUCAUUUUAAAUUAAUCUGUUUUUAUUUUAAAGUGAUUUUAAAUUAA